AUGGCUGAAGGGCCGUUAGACUUCUGGAUUAACUGGGCGAGCCAGAUCGGGGUUCUCUUGAGCCUGGCCUUCCAGGUCAUCCUCCACCUCUUCGCCAACGUACGACGGCGUAGUAGAUCACCUAUGCUGAGGCUUCCCCUCUGGUUGGCGUACCAGCUGUCUGACAUGACUGCGACAUAUGCUGCCGGCCAACUCCUCUACAGCAGCAACACACCACAAGACCACCAACUCAUUGCCUUCUGGGCGCCAUUCCUCCUGCUGCACCUCGGUGGCCCGGACAACAUCACUGCAUAUGCCCUUGAGGAUAGCAAACUCUGGACGCGCCACUUACUCAGCCUUGUGGUGCAGGUAGUUGGAGCCGGAUAUGUUCUCUACAAGUACAUCGCCGGCAGUGAGAUCAUGCUCACACUGGCUGCCAUCUUGAUAUUUGUUGUUGGUGUUGCAAAGUAUUUGGAGCGGAUAUGUGCGCUAUUGUUUGCCAACUUCAGCAGCCUCCAGAGCUCUCUCAAGGUUGCCUCCCACAAAAAAAAGAACGAAAAGAGCUCUCUUAAGGUACCACGGCAGUACCAGCAUUUUUAUAUUGAGCAUCAAGACUGGUACAGUGACUUGGCGGACGAGCACCUCCUGCAGCGUGCUCACUCCCUGUUUCAUAUCUGUAAGCGUGGGAUAGUGGAUUCUGUGAUCGAGGUGGAUUUAGCUAACCCGAGUGAGGUGGUUUCUCUGGAUAACAAAACAAUCCAGGGCCUUUUGGAAGACCCUGAAGACAUGUGGAGGGUGAUGGAGAUGGAGCUCUCUCUCAUGUAUGAUAUCCUGUACACCAAGGCAAGUGUGAUCCACUCUUGGGUUGGCUACUGCAUCCGUCUUAUCUCGCCGGUCGCAGUUGCCACCUCGCUCGUGUUGUUCCAUUUGAGCAGCAAAUAUGGUUACAGCCAAGUCGAUGUUGCCAUCAGUUACACCUUGUUGGGUGGCGCCUUGGUCCUGGAGACCAAAUCGCUCCUUGGCGCACUAGGGUCAAGCUGGGCUCUUGCCUUCUUGUGUGUCACAGAAUGGGAUUGGUCCGACAUUCAGCUCUGUGUACUGGAAGGUGGCAUCGGCUUCGGCGUGCACUUGUUUCUCUUUGACGGUCCUGGAUAG
RNAcentral lists this ribosomal RNA (1134 nucleotides) under Triticum aestivum (bread wheat). RNAcentral's name for it is "partial small subunit ribosomal RNA". Lineage: Eukaryota; Viridiplantae; Streptophyta; Magnoliopsida; Poales; Poaceae. The record is from RNAcentral.